UUGUUAAAAGUUUCAUCCAUU
This 21-nucleotide microRNA is filed under the name Gossypium raimondii (Peruvian cotton). RNAcentral describes it as "gra-miR7502b". The record is from miRBase by way of RNAcentral. Lineage: Eukaryota; Viridiplantae; Streptophyta; Magnoliopsida; Malvales; Malvaceae.